This is a non-coding RNA of Myodes glareolus (Bank vole), 2455 nucleotides long. Lineage: Eukaryota; Metazoa; Chordata; Mammalia; Rodentia; Cricetidae. The record is from RefSeq and is a predicted model, not a curated record.
AGGAGGGAAGAAAAGCGUCCUGCAGGAAAUAGAGCAUGGUGGUGAGAAAUCCAGAGAAGUGAGAGGCUCAAGGCCAUAGACAGGUGAAGAAUUGCUGGGACGGAGGCAGCAAAAGGCAGCGGCUUCUUGGGAUUAAUGGAAUGGAGGAUAUAGACCGGAAGAGAUAGUCGGAUGCUGGGGGCAACACCAGGAGUCAGGGCGCCGAGGUCUUGCCUCUGCUGCUGAUGGAGAACUGUUUACUUCCUUUAUUUCUAAAACAAGGGAUUCCUGUCGCCAUGAAAGGCCAUUCAGUUAGAUCUAGUUCACAUUUUGUACCAGUUUUUUUGGUCCACACUGGGCACUUUGGUAUCAUGUGUGAUUACAGUAUAUAUAACCAACAAAAUAUGAUUGGGGCUCUACCUAAUAUUGACAAUAUUGAGAUUUAUAGAGACAGAACAUGGCAGGUGGCCCUGGGAGGAGAUGGAAAGGUGAAGGAGUUUGUUCUAGGUCUGGCUUUGCUACCAAUGGUUCACUCUGUGUUCACUAAAACCAGAAGUAUGUGUGUUUUAAAACCUGUGCACACUUUAUACACACAAUAGGGAAGGAGACUGUGGUGAACACUGUACACACACUAGGAAGGAGGCUGUGGUGAGCAAUACACACUUUACACACACACUAGGAAGGAGGCCAUGGUGAGCAAUGCACACUUUACACACACACUAGGAAGGAGGCCAUGGUGAGCAGCACACACUUUGGAGGCUGUGGUGAGCAGUACACACUUUACACACACACUAGGAAGGAGGCCAUGGUGAGCAAUGUACACUUUACACACACACUAGGAAGGAGGCCAUGGUGAGCAGCACACACUUUGGAGGCCCUGGUGAGCAGACUCUUUGGUCUCCAAAGAUUCUCACGUCCUAAUCUGAACCUGUGGUGUCAUGUGGCAAUGUGAUUUGAUUCAGGAUGGGGUGUCCUGGGGUAUUUGGAGGCACUCACUGGACUCACAAGACAGUUUAUAAAAGCAAGAUGAAGGCGAAUCAGAGAAGGAGGUGAUUGAUGGGGACAGGGCCCAAACAGAGCGAGCCAUAAUUCUGCCAGCAGCAACAAGAAACUAAUAUAGCGGCUGUUUUAGGUUUUUCCAGCAGAUGGUUUGAUAGCAAGAGUCUCCACGUGGGCUGCAUUAGAUGGGGCCUGAGCCUUGGUGUUUUUGAAGGUUCUGACCCAAGAGGGCAGCCUGGGCUGAGAGCAGCUGGCUUUAAGGGCCAGAGGUUUUGCAGGUAAAUGUGAUUCCCAGUUACCCCACCUUCCCCAUCACCUCAGAAUAGGAGCCAUGCUGAAAAGCUUCCUGAUACUACACUUCUGCCAUUUUGGAAGAACAACAAAGGUCAUUGUACUAUCGGAGUCAGAAAAAGACAGACACCCAGGAGGGAUGACAGUCUGUGAGCAAACCCAGAGCUGCCCUCCAGAAUAAGAAGCUAUUUAAGAAUUCUUGCUGUACUCUGCAUUUAAAAUAUGAACAAAUGGCCAGGCAGUGGUGACACACAUCUUUAAUCCCAGUACUUGGGAGGCAGAGGCAGGAGGAUCUCUACAACAAACAAAACAAAACAAAAUAGAAUACUAGAAACAAACGAACGCACGGACACCUGAGCACCCUUGGGAAUGCUAGGAGGCACUGGAGUGCUGCAGUGAAAGACGAAUGCACGGACACCUGAGCACCCUUGGGAAUGCUAGGAGGCACUGAAGUGCUAAACAAACGAAUGCACGGACACCUGAGCACCCUUGGGAACGCUAGGAGGCACUGGAGUGCUGCAGUGACGGACACCUAAGCACCCUUGGGAAUGCUAGGAGGCACUGGAGUGCUGCAGUGACGGACACCUGAGCACCCUUGGGAAUGCUAGGAGGCACUGGAGUGCUGCAGUGCACGGACACCUGAGCACCCUUGGGAAUGCUAGGAGGCACUGGAGUGCUGCGGUGACAGCCAGGUUUCGGAAACCUCCACUCCACGUUGCGCAAUGGACUCACCUGGCACAUGCGACCACAAGCUUCUGAUCGGAGUCACUGUGGCUGGGAUAGCUGGAGGCUGGCACACAGACAAACACACAAACAAGUCACAAAGGAGGAAGUACGCUGCUUUUACUUGUUUUGGAGCGUGUUUGGGCGGAGUUGUUAUGAGAAAGUCUCGAAACACAACUAAAAGUGAUUUGUGAUCUGGAAGAUUUUAAAAUCUGGAGAUUGUAAAGCUACUGACAACGGCGGGAUGCUGCUGUCACUGGAGAUGCUCUCUGCUCUCAAAUAUCUCUGAAUACCGCUGAAGGAGGCACACAUUUCCUAAUUGGGGAUGCUCUUUACCUGACAUUUUCAAAGUGUAGCUAAAAUACAGAGCACACUGGGGCAUCUUACCAUCAAUGUCUUGGGUAUCAAUUUUCAAGUAAAAGCUGCAGAAUUCCUCAGAGACACUAGUUUUAUGAACCACAGU